CACACUGACCUAAAUUAAUCUCUGCCAAGUCUACAUAUACAGAGAAUUUAGAGAGAUUCAACAUAUGUUCUAUGUUAAACAAAAUGCCCAGGAAAUUUAAGCACGGGUUGAAUAAAGAACGUGAAAAAAGCUAUUAAAAAGAGAAGGGGAGCGACAAGUACUUCAGAAAGCUUUAAUAUUAAAGCAUAAACACAUACAAUAUCUCCCAAAGUAUAUUAGACCAUGCAAUGGCAACACUAAUUCACACAUAAUGCAUGAAUGUUAUUGCAUUAGAUAACAAAAAAUCAAACCAAAUGGUAUAUAUGUUAAAGAAAGAUUGCACAAGCACCCUUUUCAAGAAACAUUUCACAACAUAUAUAGUGUUCAAACAUUAGUGUAACAUAUUUGUAGUUAGUGUGAUGAACUUCUUUAAGAACUUGAGGGAAACUGACUUGAUACUUCCACAAAAAACGACCAUUGGGUUAAAAGUGACAAAAAAUGGUUCAGAAAAGUGAGUUCUCUAGCACUCACUCUAGCUACUAAAUUCUAGCAUUAUUUGUUUGCUGAUUGCACUUGGUUUGAGAUUUUGUUAUUUAUGCAAUGAAUUUCAUUCAAUUGUUAGAGUUGGUUAAGCAUCCACUGUAUGCAAACACACAAAAGAGAGAGAAAUAAAGACAGAGGGACAGAGAGAAAGAGAGAUACAUUGGUGAUGCUCUUGGACCCUGAACAAGUUUUGUUUUCACAAUUGCAGACAGCAGGACAUCAGUGACAUGGAGAGAACUGAUCUCCAGCAGUUCAUCAUGCACUAAUUUACUGGCUGCCAUUCAGUUCCCCCCUUAACAGUCUCAAACUGCAGAUAUGGACGAGGACAAAGACAUAGUACAUUUUUGAUGAUUACAACAGCCAUUUGCAAACAAAGGACUGCAAAGGAGAAUUGUAUUGGGUGAAAGACAGAGACAGAAAAGAAGAUAAGGAAAGACAGAAAAGGUGGGCAUAUGAGCUUGUUUGUCUCUGUUUGUUCCAUCAGAAGAAAAUGUGACAUUUGAAGGAUGAGAGAACUUUUCCAGACUGUAAAUUGGCACUGAAGGAGACUUGGAAGCAGGUUAGCUUUAUUACUGUACUUCAUAGGGUUAAUAGACAAGAAUAGAGUUAGAAUGAGAGAUAGAGAUUCGUAAGAAAAUAAUGGGAGAGAGGAAGUUUAGAACACUGUCAGAAAAAUAAAAAUGUCUACAUGACAGUCUGUAUUUAUUUAUACCUUAUGUGUUCCUAAAGGGUGCAUAUUAGUACCUUAAGAUGUAAAGAUGUGCUGCAACAGUGACAAGCUGUUGUACCUCUAAUGGUAACAUUUUUUUUUUUUUUUCUGACAGUGAAAUGAGAAACGUCAAGGAAGCAGAGAGGAUAUUUAGUCAGCAAAGGUAGUGAAAAAAAUAGAAAAAGUACAAAUAAGGUUGGAUGUAGGCUAAAAAGAUACAGUCCCAGUAAAACAAGGAAAGUAUUAUUUGUCUCUCUCACACACGAUCUACCUCUUUCCAGUUUAUUAAUCAAUAGGGUUGCUGUUAUUCCGCAGCUGUGCAGACAAGUUCUUCAAAAGGCAAGAGGGGGUUUUCAGGUGGCACAACACACCGAAAAAUUCCCAGCAUUCCUUCUGGCUAGCGAAAGAUGACACAUCAUUCUGCUGUAACAUGUCAGCUGAUUGCUGUGCCACGGCACUGGUUUUAGGCGAGUGGCAGUGCUCUGGCAACAGACGUAGUCUUUUUUUUUCUCCCAGACGCACUGCGGCACAGCCAGACGACUAGAGUGGAAGCACAGGAGCUCACAGCUGCAGUUUACUGGCUUGUUUUGGGGAGGCAGAGGAGCCGAGCCGAGCCCUUCCUCUCGGAAUACCGUUGCUCCUUUCCUCUCCGCCUUUGAGGAAUAGAUUUCAUUGGGUGAAGCAGCCGAGGAGUCAAGAGCCAAGAAGGAAGACGAACUAAAACUCUGAGUCAAAAAACCUGGAAUUAUGCUUUGUCUCUGUCUAGCAGGAAGUAAAAUGAGAAGAAACAAGAUUUGAUCAUGAUUUUUUCGAGUGCAGUCGCCGUGUAUGUGCAUGCAUUAUUGCGUUGGUUCCAGACUGAGAAAUUGAACAAGAUGGGUUGGAUUCCAGUGCGUUACCUGUCCAUCCCAUCACAAACUCAUUCCCCCCACCAAAGGUCCCAGUGCAGACAUCCAGUCAGACAGGCCGAUCUGCAUUAGCUGGCUUUGAUUUCACUUCUGGUCAGAGACUAGGUCCGCAGUGCUGGGACAAGGUGGGCGCUCCACGCCAGGGUUAAGGCAGCUUUCAGAGGCUGAGUCCAUGUCCAUCGGGCAGGGCAAAGUCGAAGGGAAACGGCAAUGCAGCAGCUGAGCUGAGCUCAGCCAGACAGACGCAGUGACCUAAAUCAGCCCCAGUCAUGUCUGGACGCAGCAAGAGUGAGGCAGACAGAGAGAGGAAGACAGAGCGAGAGCGUCGGAGAGAGGGGGAGAGCGAAACACACAUACCGUCUCGAACAUAUACUCACACUACAGGAUGGAGAGAAGCAAAGGAGUCUGUAAGGGGAGGGGAAGACUGAGUUACCUCUCUCUCUCUCUCUCUCUCUCUCUCCUGUUUUUUCCCUCCACUGCUUUAUUUUGUUCUAUUAGCUGGAGUUCACAUUGACUGCAUGUCUACAUUGAUCUCCAGAGCGAAAUGCUAUCUUGUUCCCCCCUCCCUUUACCUUCCCAGAUUGCACCUUUCCAUACAGGAAAGAAGAGCCCAGGAAGAAGUUCAGGAAGUUCAGGAAGAAGAAUACUGUUCAGGAACCAUAAAAUCAGUCUUAGAAAUGUUAUUGUUUAAAAGUUUACAGUUUAUGGUUCAUAUUUAAUAUGUGUUUUUAUACAUUUCCACUUUUAACAGAACAUUUUAAUUGCUUCCAGUGCUUGGAUUUUACUGUUUUGUUUGUAACAAUUACUUGAAAAUAUAUUUUCUACAAAGUGAUGUUUUUGUGUGUAUUUUCACAUUGAAUCAACGUUACUAGGAUACAUGUGACUGUCAGCGAGUCUCAGAGAGCAAAUGUAAAACAAUAGAGGACUUGCACACAUCUUUAUGAUAAACAACUCCUUCCCUUUGUUUUUUUCUUUUUCUUUCUUUUAUAUUUGUCUCUAGAAUUACAGCCAAAUUAACUAAAACUCCUCAAACAAUAAAUCAAUCAUUUUAAAACUCUCUAAAUAUGCAUGAAAGAUUAACAAAAGAAUUUCAGGCCAGGCAAUUUAUAUUGUCAUGGUAACUUGAACAAAGAGGAAGGAUUUGUAUGUUCAGGAAAGUAGUGUUGUUGUUGUUUUUUACAAAAUGAAAAAUGUUUACAAAAUGGAAAAUACUAAAUAAAAUCUAUUUAUUAG
Xyrauchen texanus (razorback sucker) is the source of this 3372-nucleotide long non-coding RNA. RefSeq lists it as uncharacterized. The transcript is spliced from 3 exons. The record is from RefSeq and is a predicted model, not a curated record. Lineage: Eukaryota; Metazoa; Chordata; Actinopteri; Cypriniformes; Catostomidae.